Spinacia oleracea (spinach) is the source of this 106-nucleotide small nucleolar RNA. NCBI's taxonomy places the organism in Eukaryota, Viridiplantae, Streptophyta, Magnoliopsida, Caryophyllales, Amaranthaceae. The record is from RefSeq and is a predicted model, not a curated record.
AAACCAUGGUGCGGGCACUCUCUCUGCAAGUCCUUGAAUCUCUCCCAGAACUCGAACAAACUCUCAUCUGCUUGUUGUGAGAUUGUUUACACAAAUUUUCUAGUCU